RNAcentral lists this unclassified non-coding RNA (229 nucleotides) under Hevea brasiliensis (rubber tree). Lineage: Eukaryota; Viridiplantae; Streptophyta; Magnoliopsida; Malpighiales; Euphorbiaceae. The record is from RNAcentral.
UGGAGAGGUAGCGUGUACGCAGACCUUUCCCCUGCAUUGAGAAGAUGAUAAUCUUUCAAAGAACCAAAUAUUGUUGAAGUUCACCCCAUUAGCUCAGUUGUUAUUUACAAGUUAAAAUCCAGAAAUCAGAAGAAGACGCUACUUACAUAAAACUUCAUGUGCAGUUAAACGUUUCCUUGGAUCUCGAAUAAGCAUUCUCCUCAUCAAGUCUUUUGCAUCUUCUGAAAUA